This 30-nucleotide non-coding RNA is filed under the name Mus musculus (house mouse). Lineage: Eukaryota; Metazoa; Chordata; Mammalia; Rodentia; Muridae. The record is from RNAcentral.
UACUAGAACCUGUAGGUAGAGAAACAAAGU